CAAAGAUUUGGUCCUAGUCUUAUAAUUAAUUGGAGGUAAGAUUACACAUGCAAAUAUCCAUAUACCAGUGUAAAAUCCCUUAGAUAAAACAAAAAUUUAAGGAGAAGGUAUCAAGCACAUAAAAAUAGCUCAAGACAUCUUGCCUAGCCACACCCCCACGGGACUCAGCAGUGAUAAAUAUUAAGCAAUAAACGAAAGUUUGACUUAGCUAUACCUCUAAGGGUUGGUAAAUUUCGUGCCAGCCACCGCGGUCAUACGAUUAACCCAAACUAAUUAUUCUCGGCGUAAAACGUGUUUACUAAACAUACAUGAACAAUAGAAUUAAAAUCCAACUUAUAUGUGAAAAUUCAUUGUUAGGACCUAAAUUCAAUAACGAAAGUAAUUCUAAUGUCUUACAACACACGAUAGCCAAGACCCAAACUGGGAUUAGAUACCCCACUAUGCUUGGCCCUAAACCUAAAUAAUUUGCCAACAAAAUUAUUUGCCAGAGGACUACUGGCCACCGCUUAAAACUCAAAGGACUUGGCGGUACUUUAUAUCCACCUAGAGGAGCCUGUUCUAUAAUCGAUAAACCCCGCUCUACCUUACCAUCCCUUGCUAAUACAGCCUAUAUACCGCCAUCUUCAGCAAACCCUAAAAAGGCAUUAAAGUAAGCACAAGCACAAACAUAAAAACGUUAGGUCAAGGUGUAGCCAAUGAGAUGGAAAGAAAUGGGCUACAUUUUCUUUUUAAAAGAACAUUAACGAUACCCUUUUUGAAACUAAAGGACUAAGGAGGAUUUAGUAGUAAAUUAAGAAUAGAGAGCUUAAUUGAAUAGAGCAAUGAAGUACGCACACACCGCCGUCACCCUCCUCAAAUUAAAUAAACCAAUAAACCAAUACUACAUAAUAUUCUCUAACUUAUUUAUGAGAGGAGACAAGUCGUAACAAGGUAAGCAUACUGGAAAGUGUGCUUGGAAUAAU
RNAcentral lists this non-coding RNA (962 nucleotides) under Malacomys longipes (big-eared swamp rat). Lineage: Eukaryota; Metazoa; Chordata; Mammalia; Rodentia; Muridae. The record is from RNAcentral.